GAGUUUGAUCGUGGCUCAAGACGAACGCUGGCGGCGUGCCUAAUACAUGCAAGUAGAACGCUGAGGUUUGGUGUUUACACUAGACUGAUGAGUUGCGAACGGGUGAGUAACGCGUAGGUAACCUGCCUCAUAGCGGGGGGAUAACUAUUGGAAACGAUAGCUAAUACCGCAUAAGAGUAAUUAACACAUGUUAGUUAUUUAAAAGGAGCAAUUGCUUCACUGUGAGAUGGACCUGCGUUGUAUUAGCUAGUUGGUGAGGUAAGGGCUCACCAAGGCGACGAUACAUAGCCGACCUGAGAGGGUGAUCGGCCACACUGGGACUGAGACACGGCCCAGACUCCUACGGGAGGCAGCAGUAGGGAAUCUUCGGGCAAUGGACGGAAGUCUGACCGAGCAACGCCGCGUGAGUGAAGAAGGUUUUCGGAUCGUAAAGCUCUGUUGUUAGAGAAGAACGUUGGUAGGAGUGGAAAAUCUACCAAGUGACGGUAACUAACCAGAAAGGGACGGCUAACUACGUGCCAGCCGCCG
This 528-nucleotide ribosomal RNA is filed under the name uncultured microorganism. RNAcentral's name for it is "bacterial SSU rRNA". It matches the Rfam family "Bacterial small subunit ribosomal RNA", at positions 9 to 517 of the family's 1533-position model. The record is from RNAcentral.